This 466-nucleotide long non-coding RNA is filed under the name Capsicum annuum. RNAcentral's name for it is "long non-coding RNA (CANN_LNC022140)". The record is from RNAcentral. Lineage: Eukaryota; Viridiplantae; Streptophyta; Magnoliopsida; Solanales; Solanaceae.
UGCAAUUCAAUAUAUACAUCCCUCAUGCAACACACAUUAUUACAAUAAUCAUACAACACACUACAUCAACAAAUCAUUUAAGCAAUUCAAAUCAACAACAUUUAAACAAUGAAUCCAACAACAUUCAAAAUACUUAAACACUCCUAAAGAUUUUUCACUAAAUUAAAAGCUAAAUUCAAAAAUAUCUAAAAAUUAUCUAAAAGUCAAGUCCAACAACACAACACUAAGGAGUAGCCCCAACAAACUCCUCAUCACUCUUUGUUUCCUCUUCGCUACUUGAAUCAGAAGCAGCGGCCUGUGUCAAGGCACGUCUAAGAUGUGCAAUCUGAUGUGACAUAGCAGCAUAUCUCUCAAAAUUAUAGAAAUGGCCUGAUCAUGCUUUGCCAACCAACAACACAUUGUCUGAAAAUCAAUUGACUAGUGUUAUAUGAUUUUAUAUAACUAGUAUAUAUAAAUAUAUAUAUAU